UUCUUUUAAAAAAUAUAUUUUGACAGAUAAGAAAUUCAGUGGCAAAGGAUGAUAAAAUACUGACCAAAAUAGUUAGCCAACUUCUAUGUAUUUAUUCCAUAUACUGUGAUUAAAAUAUGAACCCCCUCAUAACCAGUUAAGCCCACCGAUAGAUACCUGCUGCCUAAUCUUGCAAUCCUUAUUCAGGCAGCACCCCCUGAAGGUUAAAAAUCCAAAUGCCUGAAAACCAAAUCCUACCCUCAUUGCACCUGUGGGACUGUCACUGAAGUCAGUGGAGGCUUUGUAUAACUGCUAAUGUCAGGAAAUGGCCUUCAAAGCAAGAUUUGCAAAGAAUGGGAAACUUAUGAGCUGGGGAAAAUCUUGCUGCAGUUAAAGUUAUAAUAGGACAUAUAGUCCACUCAUGCUAAACUCAUGAAGACUGAAUUUCCCCCCACAUAAUCUUAUGAACAUGUUAUGGGCAUAAAAACUGCACACAGGUCUGAUUCUUCUAAUAAGGUCUGUGUUGGAAAACUCCAGUCCACACGCAAACUGGUCAUCUUUUUCUCAAUCGCUUGCUUUCUUUUUGGCCCAUUGGGAGUUCUCUUGUGUUCAGAGGGAGCUCCUUGAUCUGACUCCUUUUUUCUUCUUAGCUGCUGCUGUUUUCUUGGGGAGAAGUUUCUUCUUGGCUCUGGUUAGCUGGGAACCUUUUUUCUCCUUAGCUGCUGCUGUUUUCUUGGGGAGACGUUUCUUCUUGGCUCUGGUUAGCUGGGAACCUUUCCUGUCUGGCAAAGAUGUCACACGUGAUGUUUUGGAUACCUUCGGAGCCUUUGUCUUCUCUUCUGCUGGAUCCAGUUUAGUCUUGGAUCCUUUGGCCUGCCUCUUCUUGUCAGACACAGUUGNCCAGACACCGUUGGCUUCACUGCUGACAGUUUGGUGGAGCUUUUUGGGGAAGCUGGCUUCUUGGCUUUUUUGGAAGAAGUUGUUGGGGUGGCUCCUGUGGAGAUGGAGGAUGUGUUGGGUGGCUUUGUUGUUGUGGGCUCAUUAAGCAGUUCAAGGACAGUCUCUGUGAAAAAUAAUUAAAAUGCUUCAGCAUUCCUGGUUGAAGGCAAAAGACUAACUCAGACAUAUCCCUGAGAAAGAGCCUAAGCAGGCAGACAAGAAACAUAUUUGCCUUUCAAAAGAGAUUAAAAAAUGUGAUGCUUGAACACUGCCUCACUUUUCUCAUUUUGAAUCCGCUUCUUCCAUUAAAUAUGAACCCUGGCUGCUUCUUGUAGGGUUGCUAAGAAUAAGUUUGUUUUCUCUUAGAAUAAAAU
RNAcentral lists this long non-coding RNA (1292 nucleotides) under Gopherus agassizii (Agassiz's desert tortoise). RNAcentral describes it as "lncRNA (ENSGAGG00000003079.1)". The record is from RNAcentral. Lineage: Eukaryota; Metazoa; Chordata; Testudines; Testudinidae.